Molecule: non-coding RNA, 1447 nt
Organism: Ictidomys tridecemlineatus (thirteen-lined ground squirrel)
Lineage: Eukaryota; Metazoa; Chordata; Mammalia; Rodentia; Sciuridae
Source: RefSeq, a predicted model, not a curated record
GAAAUAUCCCCCUUUCACAAAUGAAGAAACUUAGGCCCAGAGAGGUGAAGUAACUUGCCUGAGGACACUCAGCUAUUCAGUGGUGUCCGCUGGAAUCCAUCAGAGACUGAGCUCACCUGCCAAACCACCUCGACUCUGGCUGCGGACUGAACUGAGGCCUGGCGUGCAGGUGAGCUCUCCACCGCCGAAUGCCCCAGCCCCUGGUACUCAGCGUUUAUAAAUCAACGAGGCCACCGAGACCCAGCUGCACAGUUUUCAGGCUCUACUAGGAGGUGAAGGUGGAGCCCUGGUUUGAAAAUUGGGCAGCGCCUUCAACCAAGCACAGGCCACAGUGGGCCUGGGCCCCCCGUGACCACACCUGCCACACAGCUGUGAGGCUGGCCCUGAAGCAGGCGUGAGUGGGGACGUGGCCUCCAGGACCUCUCCAUGGGGACUCAGUGCACUUUUCUGGUUUCACAGACGAGAAAAGCCUGUGUGUGUGGCGGGGUGCAGAGCAGGGAAGGAGUCGAGUGUCCCAUCUUGGGGGUUCUGUUCCCAUCCCACCCGGAUACGCCCUGUGCGUGCCCCGGGUUCCCCUGCGCCUCCUGGGGCUGUGCCUGUCUUGGGGACUGUCUUGGGGAGUCAUGGAGAGGCGCAGUGAGGAACGUUCCCUGGCGUCUGCACACUGGGAAGAGACGUGAAGCACGCUCCCCUCCUCACACUUCCUGGUGGUGUGACCUGGGACCUGUCACAUCACCUCUUCAAGCUUCUUUUCUUCUGUAAAAUGGGGGCAGCCAACCCAGCUUCAGAGGCGGGCGGGAGAGCUGGACAGAGUGACACCGAGGAGCACAUCUCACGGUCGAGGCUGCGGCUGUCUGGAGCUCCCCGCCUCUGCUGGCGGGCUCUGCGGAGCGGCUGGCAGCCUGUGCUGGGCCACCCCUCGGAAGUGCAAGUCACGCUGCCAGCCUCCGGGAGAUCCAGCUGGAGGGCAGGCCGCGCCUGAAUGUCACCGGAGCACAGGAAGCCGCCUGCAGGCUCCCACCCCUGCCUUCCUCCCGGUGGUGUCUACCUGUCCUCACCGACGUCUUCAGCUGCCUGCUGUGCUCUGGGCAGUGUAUGAAAGACUCUCCAGGCAUCACCUCCCAGGCAUCAAGUCCCCGCUUCAUAAGGAAGAAACAGGUUCCAAAAUUUGAGUGACUUUGAGCCCGUGCCAUGGCUCAUGCCUAUAAUCCCAGCUUCUCUGAAGGCAGAGGCAGGAGGAUCGUGAGUUCAAAGCCAGCCUCGGCAACUCAGUGAGGCCCUGUCUUUAAAAUAAAAUACAUUUUUUUAAAAAAGGGCUGGGGGUGUUGCUCAGUGGUUAAGCACCCCCCCCUCCCCUCGGGUUCAAUUCCUCAUAUUAAAACAAAAAUGCUUUUUUGAAUGAUUUUGCCUUGUAGUUACUAAAUUAAACAGCAAGUCUGAAUCCAAA